UACGAAGGGGGCUAGCGUUGCUCGGAAUUACUGGGCGUAAAGGGAGCGUAGGCGGACAUUUAAGUCAGGGGUGAAAUCCCAGAGCUCAACUCUGGAACUGCCUUUGAUACUGGGUGUCUUGAGUGUGAUAGAGGUAUGUGGAACUCCGAGUGUAGAGGUGAAAUUCGUAGAUAUUCGGGAAAGAACACCAGUGGCGAAGGCGACAUACUGGAUCAUUACUG
RNAcentral lists this ribosomal RNA (221 nucleotides) under uncultured bacterium. Its description in RNAcentral is "partial 16S ribosomal RNA". It matches the Rfam family "Bacterial small subunit ribosomal RNA", at positions 524 to 742 of the family's 1533-position model. The record is from RNAcentral.